Molecule: long non-coding RNA, 289 nt
Filed under: Sarcophilus harrisii (Tasmanian devil)
Lineage: Eukaryota; Metazoa; Chordata; Mammalia; Dasyuromorphia; Dasyuridae
Description: lncRNA (ENSSHAG00000032041.1)
Source: RNAcentral
UUGAAGAUCCAACAGUCAGACCUUGAAGACACCAGUGGGCAGACAUUGAAGAUCCAACAGUCAGACCUUGAAGACACCAGUGGGCAGACAUUGAAGAUCCAACAGUCAGACCUUGAAGACACCAGUGGGCAGACAUUGAAGAUCCAAUAGUCAGACCUUGAAGAUGCCAGUGAUCAGACCUUGAAGAUAGCAACAGUUAGACCUUGAAGAGACCAGUAGACAGAACCUGAAGAUCUAACAAUCUGAUCUUGAAGAUGCCAGCAGGCAGAUCUUGAAGAAGACCUUGAAG